RNAcentral lists this ribosomal RNA (268 nucleotides) under uncultured prokaryote. RNAcentral describes it as "partial 16S ribosomal RNA". It matches the Rfam family "Bacterial small subunit ribosomal RNA", at positions 524 to 792 of the family's 1533-position model. The record is from RNAcentral.
UACAGAGGGUGCAAGCGUUAAUCGGAGUUACUGGGCGUAAAGGGCGCGUAGGUUGGUAUUUAAGUCGGAUGUGAAAUCCUUGGGCUUAACCUGAGAAUUGCAUUCGAUACUGGAUAUCUCGAGUAUGGUAGAGGAAAGCGGAAUUCCCGGUGUAGCGGUGAAAUGCGUAGAUAUCGGGAAGAACAUCAGGGCGAAGGCGGCUUUCUGGACCAAUACUGACACUGAGGCGCGAGAGCGUGGGGAGCAAACAGGAUUAGAUACCCCCGUA